AGGGGGAAGAGGUUUACAUCAUAGGGCCACGUGGUCCUCAGACCCCUGCUUUCCACAGAGGGGUAGCUGCCUGGGUAGACUCUGUGAUUUGUCUCUCCUAGAACACCAGUGUUUGUUUUAAAAUCCCUAACAAGACCCUUCCUGGAUUAAAAUGAUCAUGAUGCAGGUAUAAUACACUAUUAGAAAGCCUGAAGGUCAUUUAUUCCCUUUAUGGCAGGGUUUUCCAGAGUGGCUCUCUGUAAAGAAAGCUGCCCCCAAAGCUUUCAAAAGGGACUUUGAUUGAUGUUCAAAAAGCCACAUUGUCCACAAAUGUUCAUCAAAUGUCUCUUGGGUGCUGCAUAGCAUUCUAGCCCCUGGACUCCAGAGGUGCCCUUGAGAGAGUGAGCUUCAGGCAAAUAACAAGUCAAUGAGCCAUUUUAGCUGGUGAUAAAAAGGAUAAAAUAAGACGAUGUAGGGGUGAGGACCUGGGGUGUCUGGGCUCCACAGAAGUGACACUGAUAGGGAGGAGGCAGCCUUGGCAAUGUCUGGAGGGAGAAUGCUCCGCAUGGGAGAUGCAUAGUGCAGAAGCUUUGUGUGGUUGAGGGGCAUUAAGGAAGAGGGAGCUUGGAGCGUGAUGAACAGCAUCCAGUGGGGGCAGGGUGUAUCAUGAGUCUUGUGGCCAAGGUUUGAGUUGGGAUUUUUACUGCGGGCAAAGGGAAGCCACUGGAGGGUUUUUACGCAAGAAGUGGCGUGAACUGAUUUACAGUUUGAACAUCCCCAUUGUGCUAUGUAGAAGGUGAGCCUGGGAAGAGAGCUUGAUACAUGGUGUUGCCAUAGGAUUUGGAUUAAACUGGUUGCCAGUGGAUUUCUUUGAUCCUUUGUAUAAAAGAGAGAAUGGGCCUCCCCCCAUGUAACAGGGUCUCUGGGCCAGGCCAGGAGGCACACCGGGGGAAAAGGAUGCCAGGAACCUGGCUGGAGGGCUGGCCCCUGAGUGGGUAGAACCCAGAAUCCAAGCCUUUGCCCCUAGGAGGGGAGCACUGAAACCCCAGAGAGGGAAGGAUCUAUCAGAGUGAGUGUGUUUAGCACCUCUGGCCCUUUCUCGUGUUAUCUCAGCAAAUCUUGAUAAGUGCCUCAGGAUGAGAGUAUGUAUCUGUUAUCUAUUGCCAUGUAACAAAUUACCCCCCCCCACACACACACACAUGUACUGGCUUAAAACAGCAGACAUUUCUCACCAUUUCCCUGGGUCAAGAAUUCAGGGGCGGUGUAAUCAGGAGGUUCCCCUUCAAGGUUUCCCAUGAGGUUGGGGUUGUGGGCAGCUGGAGGAUCCAUUCCAAUAUGGCGCCCUCAUAUGUUUGUUGGAUGGAAGCUUCAGUUCUUCACAGGCAGGCCUUUCUUCGUGAUGUGGCAGCUAGCUUCUCCAGAGCGGGUGGUCCAAGGGCAAGAGAGGGGCCAGGCAGGAAGCCACAGUGCCUUUUAUGACUAGGUCUCUGAAGCUGCACACUGUCACUUCUGUCUUUUUCUAUUAGUUACAAGCAAGUCACUAAGCCUGGUGCACACUCAAAUGGUGGGGAACUGGGCUCCACCUCCUGAAGCAAAGAACAUCAGAGAAUUUGUGGACAUAUUUUGAAAUUACCCAUCGCAGGUUGCGAGUCUUUAAUUGAUCGCCCCAAGGCACACUACGAGGAAGUGGCAGGAGUAGGGUUAGAAGCCAGGUCUCCAGUGCCUGCAUCUUUUGUCCUGUGCCAGGCUGCUGGGGUAGGAGCUCCCAGCUCAGCCAGCUGCCACACUGCUUGUAGAGUCCACAGGCCUCACCACAGCUCCCGAGAAGACGUGUGUCAGUGAGGACGCUCAGACGGGUUGGUCACAGUGGCUCCUCAGGCCUGUCUGCUCUCUCUGGCCAUGGUGGCUGCUCUCCUGCCAGGAUCCUCCGGCCUACAGAGCUGCCUGUCACAGGAUCAGAUCGCUGGGCCUGGCUCCCUGGUUCCUCAGCCGCCCGGCUUGCGGUCAUUUGCCAGGCAGUUACCGGAAAGUCACUCACGUGCUGUUGUCAAGUCUGGGCUGCUAGGAAGCAGACUCGGAGACAAGCAUACGUUGGCCACAGAUGCCUGAUGGCGUGUUACGCAGCAAGGAUUACGCACGGCACCUGGGGUUGAAUCAGGAGAAUCUUGCUGCACGAGUUUGCUCGCAGCUGGACUCCCCACAAUGUUCCAUCUCCUGGGCUUUUGCUGGCUCCACGGGCCCUGCUGGGGUCCCAGUGGUGGCCGAACAGAGCUCGGCCCCACCCAGCAUCUUCAGUCAACCCGCUGCAGGCCUCGCCACACGUGCAGGUGAGGCUGAGUAAAUGGGGGUGAAACCCACCCAGACAUCUCACCUCCUGAGAGGAGUGGUGGGUUCAGGAAGGGCAUGAAGCCCAUCGGACUCAAGCUUUUGCUGGGACUUCUAGGAAGGAGCCUCCUGCCACCACUGUCCUGCAGCCGCCUGAGACCGGCGACCAAAGGGGCCCAGGCUGAGGGGCAGAGAGAAGCCAAGUUUUGAUUGUGUGAUUUGAAAUCUUGAAGCCUGGGGUGUCUGAAGCCAGUUCUACCUGUGGACUCAGACCUGGCUACGUCCCCUGUGGGGCCUCUUGUUCCAAACGCAGGAGCAAAGUACCAUGAGAAGUAUUAUAAAAGAAAGGUGUGUUUUUUUUCUCUCUUCUGUGGCCUCUGUCAACUUCUCGUGGCAUUUUUAAACGUGCUGUUUAA
Canis lupus familiaris (dog) is the source of this 2720-nucleotide long non-coding RNA. RefSeq lists it as uncharacterized. The record is from RefSeq and is a predicted model, not a curated record. NCBI's taxonomy places the organism in Eukaryota, Metazoa, Chordata, Mammalia, Carnivora, Canidae. The transcript has 5 exons.